Molecule: non-coding RNA, 3387 nt
Organism: Momordica charantia (bitter melon)
Lineage: Eukaryota; Viridiplantae; Streptophyta; Magnoliopsida; Cucurbitales; Cucurbitaceae
Source: RefSeq, a predicted model, not a curated record
AUAAAUUUACGUGCAUAAUUGUUAUUUUGUAGAAAUAAAGUAUCAAGAAUAAUCGGGACGUCAAAUUGAUCAAAUAGAAUGAAAAGUCAUAGCUUGAGCAAGUUGAGAAUGUCCCACAACAUAAAUUAGAUCUAGAAGACUCGAGGGGGUAGCGUUAAAACGCUACAUCAGAGCGUCUCAACGCUACGAUGAAUAAUGAGAUAGUUCAUGCUUCGCAUCGUAGCGUCUCAAUGCCAGUCAUAGCAUCUCAACGCUACGACACCAGAAUCCGUUUAUUUUUAGUAUUUAGGGUACAGCGUCAAGACGUGCUGCCCCUAGUGUCGAGACAAUGUCCUGAAUUUUUCUAUAAAAUAAAGCCUUCGCAGAUCAAUUGAUGAUGGGGGAUCCAACCAUGGAAAAUUGGAGCGCAUUUAGACGAAGAAGUUGGGUUUCGAAGAUCGAUCGUGGAGAUUGAGUCGGGGACGAUCAAUCAACAUGACAUAUUCACUUUCUAUCUCUUUCACUACAACAAAUCCAAAAUAGGGAGUCCAGCAGUGAUAGUCGGAGUCCACGGCUUCGAUCGACGGUGACACAGAGGACGACGAACUCCACGGCUUCGAUUGAUGGCGAUAGCAACGGAGGAUGACGAACUCCAUGGCUUCGAUUGAUAGCGACAACAACGAAGGACUUCGACAGCGAAGUCCAAUGGAGAACUCUACGACUUCGAUUGACGGCGGCAUCCACCUCUUCGUGCAGUGGGUAAGUUUCUUAUGCAUGUCAAAAUAUUCCAAUUUAUUGUUUUGAAUCUCUAUUGCUUCUUUGUACUGAUAAAGGGCUGCAAUUUAUUUCGGAUAUCCUUUUUUUGCCGUAAAGGAUAUUUGGUGGAGAAGGAUUGAAUUUUGUUUUGAAAAGUUGUGUUGUUCUUUUUUUUGGUCGAAAUUGUAGUUGGGUUUAGUUCAAUAUGUUAGCAAUAUGUCAAUAUCUUUUAACAAUCCCGGAAUGUUUUAAGAAAUUUAAUUAAUGAGUUAUCUGCUCUUAUAUUUUAGACUAAUGUCAUCCCUCUCCACUUACUUUGAAGUUGAUAUUUUUUCGUUAUAGAGAAAAAAUGAAUGCUUUUGGUAAUUCAACCCAUGUUGAUUUUUACAAGCAUAUAAAGCUAUUGUUUUAUAAGGUAAUGUUCCUUCCCUCAUACUGUUUAUUUCGUUUUAUAAUUUCUCUUCAUUUAUGGCUUCUAGUGGUGAUGAGCUGAAAUCACUUGAGUCUCGAGUUCAUAUUAUAGUUGCUUUCAUAAAGUAAGACUCGAUAGCCAAGCCUUUGAUAUGGAACUCUACCACAAUAGAUUUAGCCUGUUAAAUUUGUGCUCCAAUUUAAGGGGUGAUCUUCGUUUUUUUUUAAUAGAUUAUUUUUAUUUUGUACCAUCUAAUGCUUUUUCUUUUAUCAUCUUGCUACAUUAACUAAAAACUUCUUAUGGCAGCAUAUAAAAAUGUGGCAAAUGUAGUGUCUAACUCUAUAUUUAUGACGAUUGAGAAAACUAUACAAAUGAUGUUGCAUUAACGAAAAUAUUUUUUUUUUGGAACGUUGAGUAGACAGAUUGUAAGUAAUAGGAAAGAGAGAAAAAAAAGGAAAAGUUGUCUUUUUACUAAUUUGCUUGCGGGGAUCCUAUCUUAAAUAGAUUUUUCAUUUAGGGGCUAUCUAGUGGUUAUUGGUAUGUUGAUAACUGGCAUCUCUGAUACAUACCACUUUAAAAUUCUAUGUGAUAUUGUUUCAACCAUCUAAUGCAAAAUGUGCUGGCCUAUGUGGUGGAGUGGAGUACAAAAUUUUUUGUAAGAAGUAAUUGUAUCUCGAUUUGAUGCACUUUGUAUUGUCUGCUAAUUUUGACUUCUAUUUAUUAUGUUUUUAUUAUGUUGCAGCUCGACUGCUAUUGUUUAUGUCUUUUAUGGAUAUGCACCUCUUAGUAUUUGUCUUGUCCAACAAGCUGUUAGAUCUGGAUGGUGAGCCUUUUUUGUCUGCAAGUCAUGCCUUGUUGUCUUACCUUGUUUAGCUCCACCCUAAAAAUUAAUAUUGUUAAAAAAUUAUAGAAUUAUUCAAAUUGGUCUUUUCUUUUUAAUUUACUUUAUAAUUGUACUCCUUUUGCUAUGAACUCUAAUUGGAUUUGGUUUUCUCCAAGCUUUGAGGGCAGGGUUGUCAUUGACUUAUAAAUGUUAGUUGUUAUUUUACUUUGUUGUUUAAGUUUUUUCCCUCUAUUAUUUUUGUUUUCAUUCUCAACUUUUCUCAGAAUCUAUUGUAUCUCAGUUAUUGUAUGUGCCUAAAUUUUUUACUUCAAAUAUGAUUUACCUCCAUUUUCCAAAUUCAGUGUGGCUGUAUCAGGCGUCCCAUUACAUAAAUUUUUAAGCUAUUACCUAGGCCUCAUUCAGAAACAAAGAGACUCAGCAAAUUUGUGGCUUUACUAUUUUUAUAUUGUUUCCAAUUUUUCUAUCCCUUUUCUGUCAGAUUUAUUUUGGGUUAUUCCAAUAUCCUUACAUUUCUGUCUCUCUCUCCCUAUUUUGGUUUUGAAAUCUAGGGAUGAUUCUUUAGCAAUUCAUCCUAUGAUUCAAUGCAAGGGGCUUCAGCCAGAAUUGACAAAGUGGUAGAUGGAAGGCACCACUUGUACUCGUCAUUUUUUUGGAGGAGUAACUUUGUUGGGAUUUCUGCUCUUCUAUUUCUCAGUGGUAAGGUAUGGUAUUAAGUCGUCUAUUAAACUUUGGUAUCUUCUAUGGUUUUAAAGAAUUUGAUUUAAAUCCUAUACUUAUGACUAUGCUCUCACAUUCUGUUUACUUGUAGCUUGGGGUAGUUCUUCUUCCUAAUGCAUAUGCUUAAUUUUAAGUUUUAUUUGUUACACAUUGAUAUGGUAAACAGGUUCAAUUUUCUAGCUGUGGAUUUCCUUUCUCAUAAUUACGUAUUCUAUUACCAGUUAUGAAAAGCAGGAUUUGGAAAAUGGUACUUUUUAUGUUACAGUUUGGAAACCUGGGAAGUGUCCUCGGCAACUAGGUUCUAUCGAAUGUGGGUACUAUUUGCAAAAGUAUAUACGAGAAAUAGUGUGUAACCCUAAUACUCCCAUAACUGAACUUUUUAAUACAAAAAAUGCCUACAAACAAGAAGAAAUCGACGAAGUUCAAAUAGAAUGGACAUCAUUUGUUGGACGAUUUGUGUAGUACCUAUGGAUUCAUUACUUUUGUUUAUUUGAUAUAAGUAUUUGGUUCGGGUUACUUUCUGUAGUAGUACUUAGUAGAUUUGAAAUACUUGGUCUUGUUUAUAAUAUAUAGAAGUUUGGAUUGUUAUGCUGAAUGUAGUUUUGUUGGAGGGACGGGCGGUCCCAUUUGUUUCUGUGUGGAAGGGGUGUUAAUAUAGAAGUGUUUGAUUGUUGCUAAA